This 65-nucleotide non-coding RNA is filed under the name Desulfovibrionales bacterium. The record is from RNAcentral. Lineage: Bacteria; Pseudomonadati; Thermodesulfobacteriota; Desulfovibrionia; Desulfovibrionales.
CUGCGAAACAGCCCUGCGGGGCUGUCGUCCGGGCGUGGCGGCCCGGGCCUGAUGAGCAGCCACGG